Molecule: ribosomal RNA, 1105 nt
Filed under: uncultured cyanobacterium
Lineage: Bacteria; Bacillati; Cyanobacteriota
Description: bacterial SSU rRNA
Rfam family: Bacterial small subunit ribosomal RNA
Source: RNAcentral
GCGACGCCGCGUGAUGAUGAAGCCCUUCGGGGUGUAAAGUUCCGUCGACAGGGAAAAUAAUGAUGGUACCUGUAGAGGAAGCACCGGCAAACUAUGUGCCAGCAGCCGCGGUAAUACAUAGGGUGCAAGCGUUGUCCGGAUUUACUGGGCGUAAAGCGCGCGUAGGCGGCAAUUCAAGUCAAACUUUAAGGGCUCCUGGCUCAACCGGAGUUUGGGUUUGAUACUGUUUUGCUAGAGAUUGGGAGAGGAAAGUGGAACAAACAGUGUAGCGGUGAAAUGCGUAGAUAUUGUUUGGAACACCCAUGGCGAAGGCAACUUUCUGGACCAAAUCUGACGCUGAGGCGCGAAAGCGUGGGUAGCAAACAGGAUUAGAUACCCUGGUAGUCCACGCUGUAAACGAUGUACAUUAGGUAUCGAGGGUAUCGACCCCCUCGGUGCCGAAGCUAACGCGUUAAAUGUACCGCCUGGGGAGUACGGUCGCAAGAUUAAAGCUCAAAGGAAUUGACGGGGGCCCGCACAAGCAGUGGAUCAUGUGGUUUAAUUCGACGAUACCCGAAAAACCUUACCCAAACUUGACAUCUAGAGAAGCUUACGGAAGCGUAGGUGUGCUCGCAAGAGAGCUCUAAGACAGGUGGUGCAUGGUUGUCGUCAGCUCGUGUCGUGAGAUGUUAGGUUAAGUCCUGCAACGAGCGCAACCCUCGUGCUGUGUUGCUACAUUAAGUUGAGCACUCUCAGCAGACUGCCCGUGGUAAACGGGAGGAAGGUGGGGAUGACGUCAAAUCAUCAUGCCCUUUAUGUUUGGGGCUACACACAUGAUACAAUGGUCGGUACAAAGGGAUGCGAAACCGCGAGGCGAAGCAAAUCUCAGAAAACCGAUCUCAGUUCAGAUUGAAGGCUGCAACUCGCCUUCAUGAAGAUGGAAUUGCUAGUAAACGCAGAUCAGCAUGCUGCGUUGAAUACGUUCCCGGGCCUUGUACACACCGCCCGUCACACCAUGAAAGCCGAAAAUAUCCGAAGUCAGUGAGCCAACCGUAAGGGGGCAGCUGCCUAAGAUAGAGUCGGUGAUUGGGGUGAAGUCGUAACAAGGUAGCCGUACCGGAAGGUG